GAGUGUGUGUGUGUGUGUAUUGUUCUUGUUGUUUUUAGUAAAAGUAAACUCGUUUUCUCGUUUCUGGUUCUCCUGUUUUUAGGUGAUUCUGAAACAGGAAGUUCAGUAGAAAGGUUGAUGGUGAUUCUGGUGGUUUUGAUUCUGGUUGGGAUGAUUCUUUCUGCAGUGUUUUAUUUUAGAAUCAGGAUAUUUAACAGUAAGUUUCACUGACUUUUAUUCUUCUACCAUAAAAAAAUGCUUAAUAAACUGACAGAAGUCUUUAUUUUUGUUUGUAGAAUUGAUUCAGAUCAAAGAUCAAAGUGAACAGGAUCAUACUGGCUGCUGUGACGAAAAUGGAAUUCCACCUGAGGGCAGGAAUGAGAUCGGUGAGAAUUUUGGUGAAUACUCUACAAUUCCAGAAUUAAGAGCCAUCACAAACCCUGUCACUUUGUGUGAUGCUGAGAGAGACGUGUACAGUCUGAUUCAAGAUUCAGCGAUAUACAGCGUAGUACAGAAGAACGAAAGUGUUUUGCUGAAAAAGAAGAAAGAAACUAAACAACUCACUGAUACAACUGCAGUUUAUGCAAUCGUGCAAAAAGGAAGAAAAACGUGAUGACUGUCACACCUUCCUAUGCCUCUACUGACUUUUCCACUUUCACAAACUCCAACUCCCAGAAUGCACCUCUCAAUCAUGUGUCUCAGCCAGCCAAUCAGCACCUGAUUGUUAGAUCAGCUUCACCUGUGUUCUGAGUAAUUACUGGGGUUUUUCUGUGUAUAAAUAAAAGUCUGUUUGUCCUCUUUUUUGCGAAGUAUUGCCCCUGUUUUUUCAGCUGCAUACCGAGCGUUAUUUCUUUUUUUAUCUAUUUCCAUGUUUGACCUAUUUUUUGUCUUUUGUCUCUGAUUUUGUCUUGCCCUUUUGGUUAGUACUCUUGGCUAUUUUGUUCUGGUUUAGACCCUUAUUUCUUGUUUGUUGUUUAUCCCUUUUGGACUGUGAUUUGGCUCUGAUGUUUUGGUUGGUGUUGUUUCUGGUUUGUAAUGUCAUUUGUUGGUUUAGCUCUGGUUAUUAAAGCUACUCCUGAUUCUUA
Long non-coding RNA from Astyanax mexicanus (Mexican tetra), 1064 nucleotides. RefSeq lists it as uncharacterized. The transcript has 7 exons. NCBI's taxonomy places the organism in Eukaryota, Metazoa, Chordata, Actinopteri, Characiformes, Acestrorhamphidae. The record is from RefSeq and is a predicted model, not a curated record.